RNAcentral lists this ribosomal RNA (412 nucleotides) under uncultured bacterium. Its description in RNAcentral is "bacterial SSU rRNA". It matches the Rfam family "Bacterial small subunit ribosomal RNA", at positions 356 to 773 of the family's 1533-position model. The record is from RNAcentral.
GGGGAAUAUUGGGCAAUGGGCGAAAGCCUGACCCAGCGACGCCGCGUGAGGGAAGAAGGUCUUCGGAUUGUAAACCUCUGUUGACAGGGACGAAGGCGGGGAACCGCGUGACGGUACCUGUCGAGGAAGCCACGACUAACUACGUGCCAGCAGUCGCGGUAAUACGUAGGUGGCGAGCGUUAUCCGGAUUUACUGGGUGUAAAGGGUGUGUAGGCGGAGAUGCAAGUCAGGUGUGAAAUUCAUGGGCUCAACUCAUGAACUGCGCCUGAAACUGUGUCCCUUGAGUGUCGGAGGGGUAAACGGAAUUCCCGGUGUAGCGGUGAAAUGCGUAGAGAUCGGGAGGAACAUCGGUGGCGAAGGCGGUUUACUGGACGACAACUGACGCUGAGACACGAAAGCGUGGGGAGCAAAC